GUUGAAACCGUCUCUACUAAAAUUACCAAAAUUAGCUGGGUGUGGUGGCGCACACCUGUAAUCCCACCUACUCAGGAGGCGGAGGCACAAGAAUUGCUUGAACUCGGAGGGUGGAGGUUGCCAUGACCCGAGAUCGCACCACUGCACUCCAGCCUGGGUGACAGAGCAAGAGUCUGUCUCAGAAAAUAAUAAUAAUACUUUUUUUUUUGUAGGGGUGGGGUCUUGCUCUGUUGACCAGCCUGGUCUUGAACUCUUGGGCUCAAGUGAUCCUCCUGUCUCGGCCUCCCAAAGUGAUGGGAUUACAGGAAGAAGCCACCGUGCCUGACCAUCGGUGGCAUUUCUUUGGAGAUAUUUGGGCUGUUCUGAGAAGACAGUUGAGGCAAGAGCCAUGUGGCCCAGGGGUCAGUGUGACUUUCUCUAGCCUUUUCCCCUCCAAACCAAGCUGCUCCUUUGUCCCCUCAGGUCAGAAGCACCUCAGGAAGGCUGUCUUACAACCACAGCGCCUCCUGUGUGGACGAAGGCUCGGUGUUUGGAGUUCCCAGGGAAGGUGGAGGGAAGGACGAGACGGCAGAUGGAGGAAGACAGGACUCAGAAACCCUCGUUUCUUCUGGUUUGCUUCUGACUUGAACUGAAGCUCGUGCCUCCGUGAACCUGGGAACCUUUUGAUUUCUGGAAGGAGCUGCGUGCAGAAGGUCUGACUGCAUCAAAUUAAAACUUUGGGUUUUAGGUAGGCACAGCCACAAAAAAGUUGAAGCUGGCAUGUCUUGUCCAAGGCUACCUAUCAUGACAGAAAUAGAAGUGGAUCUCUGGCCUGGCCGUCUGGGACUGCGAUGUCUCACUGUGGGGCCUGCCUGGAACUGAAGGUUUCCCAUGAGUCAUAGACUUCCCUGGUGCAGGGCAGCAACCCAGGGGCUUGGUAACUGGGUUGAGGGAAAGAGAGAAGUUUUUGUUUAUGAUCUCAUUCCAAUCAGAAUGUGUCCAGACGCCCAAAUAUUUGAUUUGAGCCUGGUUGCUAAGAGACCUCCCACUGGGACCCAGCUGCCUGCGGGCAGGAGGGCGGUAUUGGCAUCAUUUCAGAUUUCUGCCAAUUUAUUUUGAAACCAGAAAACCUAGAACCUCGGCCUCCUCAAGGCAACCAGGGGGAGAGGAGAGAUCUGAGUCAGCCGAACUACAGGGAGAAAACCCCCGCUAACCUUCUGCCAGGGAGCUGUAGGAAGGUUCGGGAUAGAACAGAAUGAUGACAUUGUGCUUGUUUACUUCAUGGGAAAUAGGCUGGUAGGGUAAUGAAGAAGAAAUUGGAGCUCUGUGCUUAGAAAUGCAAGUGUCAUCUUGAAGAAACCUCAGGGAUUCCAGAACAAUGCUGGAUUUCCGGGUAAUAAUUGGGCGUUAUGAAGGCUUCCCUGAUCGGAUCUACACACCCAGCGUCUUGGGUUUUAAUUGCCUGGUGACUUAAAUGCCUUGGGGAAAUGGCAUGAGUAACAUGGUCCUAGGUAAGCGUGUGCGGGGUCGGUGCACAUGGGAGAGGUGGGGAAACCUGCUUCUGGCUUCUCUCCUUUCUCAGCAGAAGGCAGACAGCUAAGGGAAAAGGCUUCGCAUCUGUACUGGUAUCAAGGAACCCUGGGCAUUCCCACGCUAGUAGCAGCAGAACAGAACCUCUAGAUGUGAUCUCUGUCCCCAGUGCCAUUCUCAGGACCAAGCAGUGAUAAAUACAGACCUAGAAAUUUUACAAGGUUUUUUUUUUUUUUUGUCGUUGCCCAGGUUGGAGUGCAGUGGUGCGAUCUUGCCUCACUGCAACCUCCAACUCCCGGAUUCAAGUGAUUCUCGUGCCUCAGCCUCCUAUGUAGCUGGGACUGCAGGUGCGUGCCACCACACCUGGCUAGUUUUUGUAUUUUUAGUAGAUGGGGUUUCACCAUGUUGGCCAGGCUGGUCUCGAACUCCUGACCUCAGGGCAGGAGAAAUUGGAUGUCCCAGCUCAAACAAUCAGGCAGGAAGGGGAAAAGGAGCAAAUUCCUUUUUCCUCCAUCUGUUUGCUCUAUUCAGGCCCUCAGUGGAUUGGUCGAUGCCCUCCCACACUGGGGAGGGUUUUCUACUUCACCGGGACCCCGUGGUGCCGUCAGGUUGACACAUGAAAUGAACCAUCACAGUCUUCAUCUCAGUGACAUUCUCUGAAGAAGGACAGCACAGUGGGUUUUGCUUUCAGAUGGAAACUUACUGCAGGAUCCACUAUUUUCUGAUGAGCCAUGUGAUCUUGGGCAAGUUCUGAUGCCUCAGUUUCCCCAUCUGUCAAAAGCUAUCUUGAUACAGAUUGUUAGACCAUACAGACAUAUGCACUCAUAUGUUCAUUGCAGCACUAUUCACAAAAGCAAAGACAUGGAAUCAACCUAGAUGCCCAUCAAUGGCGGAUUGGAUAAAGAAAAUCUGGAACAUACACACCAUGGAAUAUUAUGCAGCCUUAAAAAGAACAAAAUCAUGUCCUUCGCGCAACAUGAAUAGAGCUGGAGGCCAUUAUUCUAAGUUAAUAACACAGCAACAGAAAACCAAAUCCUGAUUGGGCACGGUGGCUCACGCCUGUAAUCCCAACAUUUUGGGAGGCUGAGGUAGGUGGAUCAUUUGAGGUCAGGAGUUCAAGACCAGCCUGGCCAACAUAGCAAAACCCCAUCUCUACUAAAAAUAUAAAAAUUAGUCGGGUUUAGUGGUGCACACCUGUAAUACCAGCUACUCAGGAGGCUGAGGCAGGAGAAUCGCUUGAACCUGCGAAGUGGAAGUUGCAGUAAGCUGAGAUGUCACCACUGCACUCUAGCCUGGGCCACAGAGUGAGACUCUGUCUCAAAAAAAAAAAAAAAAAGUACUGUAUGUUCUCACUCAUAAGUGG
RNAcentral lists this long non-coding RNA (2872 nucleotides) under Macaca mulatta (Rhesus monkey). RNAcentral's name for it is "lncRNA (ENSMMUG00000051415.1)". Lineage: Eukaryota; Metazoa; Chordata; Mammalia; Primates; Cercopithecidae. The record is from RNAcentral.